Molecule: ribosomal RNA, 692 nt
Filed under: Careproctus rastrinus
Lineage: Eukaryota; Metazoa; Chordata; Actinopteri; Perciformes; Liparidae
Description: partial 16S rRNA
Rfam family: Bacterial large subunit ribosomal RNA (bases 1-442)
Source: RNAcentral
GUUUGAUACCCCGAAACUACGUGAGCUACUUCAAGACAGCCUAUUAUAGGGCUAACCCAUCUCUGUGGCAAAAGCGUGGGAAGAACUUUGAGUAGAGGUGACAAACCUACCGAACCUAGUUAUAGCUGGUUGUCCAAGAAAUGAAUAAAAGUUCAGCCUCUAAGCUUCUUCCUUCACCUGAACUUAACCCCUUUAGAUGUAUUAAAGAAACUAAGAAAGUUAGUCAAAGGAGGUACAGCUCCUUUGAAUCAAGACACAACUUUAACAGGCGGGUAAAGAUCAUAAUAACCAAAGCUAGACAUUCUGGUGGGCCUAAAAGCAGCCAUCCCUUAGAAAGCGUUAAAGCUCAAACAUAUUACUUAUACCUUCUUAUCCUGAUCAAUAAAUCUCACCCCCCUAACCAUACUGGACCCUCCCAUGCCCCCAUGGGUGUGAUUAUGCUAAUAUGAGUAAUAAGAGAGCCCGCCUCUCUCCCUGCACACGUGUACCUCGGAACAGACAACCCACCGACCAUUAACGACCCCAAACAAAGAGGGCAAUAAAUCAUAAACUAAAAUCAAGUAAAACAUUUAAAAAUUAACCGUUAACCCCACACAGGUGUACCCCAAGGAAAGACCUAAAGAAAGAGAAGGAACUCGGCAAACACAUAAAGUCUCGCCUGUUUACCAAAAACAUCGCCUCUUGUACCCCCC